Molecule: non-coding RNA, 21 nt
Organism: Caenorhabditis elegans
Lineage: Eukaryota; Metazoa; Nematoda; Chromadorea; Rhabditida; Rhabditidae
Source: Ensembl
UGACAACAAAAAAAGCUGGAA